AAUAACCAAAAAUAACACUAGCGCUAAGGGUCAAAUUGGUAAUUAUUUCUUACAACCCCCGGACCCACGUAUCAUAUAUGCUGCCAAAACAAAGAGGCUUGGGUACUAAAAGAAAAGCACCUAGACCUAACAAUUAAGUGAAUAUCCAAAAUUGUAGUAAUUUUAUUUCUAUAUUUCCA
RNAcentral lists this antisense RNA (179 nucleotides) under Zea mays. RNAcentral's name for it is "Antisense RNA which regulates isiA expression". It matches the Rfam family "Antisense RNA which regulates isiA expression". Lineage: Eukaryota; Viridiplantae; Streptophyta; Magnoliopsida; Poales; Poaceae. The record is from Rfam by way of RNAcentral.